Molecule: long non-coding RNA, 2398 nt
Organism: Ictidomys tridecemlineatus (thirteen-lined ground squirrel)
Lineage: Eukaryota; Metazoa; Chordata; Mammalia; Rodentia; Sciuridae
Source: RefSeq, a predicted model, not a curated record
CCCUGACCCCCGGGGGCCCCAGACACCCGAGGCUCUCGAGACCGAAGAGGGCUGGGGGGAUCGCGCGGGGUGACCGGACGGUGGGGGAGCCGCUCUCGCUGGGAGCCUCAGGCCCCGCACUCACCUCAGCUUCUCCGCCGGGGCGUUGGCAGCGCUGCGCGGGGUCUCCUCGGCUGCCGGACAGGGGCACGCACCUGACGUCAGCACGCAGGAGACGCACGGUUGGGUGCCCGCGGAAGUGGGUGGGACGAGGAGCACCUAGAACACUCCUGGAGGCAAAGGAAGUACUGAAUGAGCAUCAGCAGAAGACAUAAAAGUGCCACACCGAGCAAUCAGCUUCAAAAGCCAUUUCUGAACUGGCACCAAGCUUGUCACAGGAGCAGAUCUACAAGCCCAAGAACCAAGACAGAGGCAGAAAGGUUCCUCCAGACUGGGUUGAGCUGGGGAAGCAGCUGCUGUUUACUCAGUCACCACCACAGCCACUGCUCUGUUUCGGCUGUCAGUCAAAACACAGGUCUCAGAACACAGAAAAGCAAGCGUGACCUCUGUUGCAGGCAGAGCAGAAUGGAACAGUGUCUCAGCGUCACAGGGAGGUGUCUGCCCAAGGACAAGCAGCAGCACAGAGGGAAUGGAAAUGGAGAAGGAGCAAGUGGGACAGCUCUGCCUAAGUGCAACUUACCUCUUGUGACCCUGUUUAUCCCUUUCUUAGUUUUGUCCAAUUUAAAUCCUGUUUUGAAAACAAAGGCCACAACUGUUCCUGUCUCUGCUCAGUGAACACGGCCAUAGUUCUUACCUCCAGGUCACACCUACUCUUGAGAAUAUUACCUUACCCAAACACUGACCGUGGUGAUUACCACAGGACAUAUUAUUAUCAAGAACCAAAUUUUAAUACUUCAAGAGCAUCCCCAACAAGUUACGGUGGGGUUUCAGAAACUUUCAUGACAUGUCAUCAAAGUGAGAAUCAUGAACUCUGAAAACUAAAGCUGAUUACCUCUUUGGAUACAAAAAACAAAAAACAUUAAACAUAUUACAAAGUACAAAAGAAGGAGGCAUCUCGUAGAAGAAAAACAAACUCUUGUUCCAAGUAGCAGGACACUUGUCCUAACAAGAGGGCAAAGCAAUUCCUUCUGGAAUUUAUAGUCCCAGGAACUAAAGCAGCUCCAGCCAAAAGGAGGUCCAGUCACGGGCUUUGAAGGGCUUUCAGCUUCAAAAACAAGCUCCAAGAUGGAGGUUCAGAUUUCCCAAAGCCAAAGUUGGAUUCUACAACAAAGAGAAGCUCUGCUUUACUUCUCACAAGCAGGCAGAGAGCCAGUGAUUCUGACUCCAGGUUGACCCCUCAGCGCUUGAGCUCUGAGCUUCUUAGGCUGCACAGCCUGGAACUGCUCCUCACCAGCAUCUCUCCUUCAUGUGACCAUCAAAAUCUCAACCGCUGUUCAGCAAGCUCCUGAGAUGUCCUAGGAUGUCCCCAGGCCCAGCUGCAACUUCAUAACAGGACUUCCUCAACCUCUCCCUGGAGGUUGAAGGGUGGAGGGAAUUGCUUUGUGGCACAGCAGUGAGGUCCUCAACAGUGUUCAGUGAGGGUCUCUGGAGGGAGUCCAGCAGGUUCCCAUGGAACCUGAACCCAGGAAGCAAAUACUAGGAUGGCUUCUGGCUCCCCAGCUACCGUCUCAGUUGGUGGUGAGCUCAUUUGAUCACUCUGUACUUCUUUAUCUGCAGCCCUAGGGAAACUUCAGUCUCCAUUCUGGGACUCUGCACAUAUUUCAGACUCCCAGGCACAAUUACAAAAGUCAAGGUCAGCUAAAACAGACCAAAAAGAUCCACCCUGAUCUCGUGGAUCUUGUCCAGGCCCAGGUUGUGUAAGCUUUCCAAAUUUAACAAGGUUUUCUUAAAAAGCUACUAGAAAUUUUAUUUUUGUUUUCUUUUUGCUGGAUCAAUUGACACAAUUGAGAAAAUGUGCGAAUGGUUUGCCAAAAUGAGAAACAGUUUUGUUUUAUCAUAGAGGAGGCGCUGUACCAGGGAUUGAACCCAGAGGCGCUUAAUCAUUGAGCCACAUCCCCAGCCUUUUUUAAAUUUUGAGAUAGGGUCUCACUAAGUUGCUUAGGGCCAUGACAAGUGGCUGAGGCUGGCCUUGAACUUGGGAUCCUCCUACCUCAGUCUCCCAAGUCCAUGGGAUUAGCAGCACUUGCCACCAACCCCAACAAAGAGAAACAUGGACUCUUUUUUUGUUGUUCUUUUUAGUUAUAUAUUAUAGUAAAAUCUGCUUUGGUAUAUUUAUAUAAGCACAGAAUAUAUCUUAUUCUAAUUAGGAUCCCAGGAUUGUGAAUGUAUACAAUGUUGAGAUUCACUAUGGUGUAUUCACAUAUGUACACAGGAAAGUAUAAUAAACCUGACAAAACUA